This 253-nucleotide ribosomal RNA is filed under the name uncultured bacterium. RNAcentral describes it as "partial 16S ribosomal RNA". It matches the Rfam family "Bacterial small subunit ribosomal RNA", at positions 524 to 776 of the family's 1533-position model. The record is from RNAcentral.
UACGUAGGGACCGAGCGUUGUCCGGAAUCAUUGGGCGUAAAGAGCGUGUAGGCGGCCACUUAAGUCCUGCGUGAAAUCCUGCGGCUCAACCGCAGGCGGUCGUGGGAAACUGGGUGGCUAGAGUGCGGGAGAGGAGAGUGGAAUUCCUGGUGUAGCGGUGGAAUGCGCAGAUAUCAGGAAGAACACCCGUGGCGAAGGCGGCUCUCUGGGCAUGACCUGACGCUGAGGAGCGAAAGUGUGGGAGGCGAACAGG